This 3948-nucleotide long non-coding RNA is filed under the name Homo sapiens (human). Its description in RNAcentral is "HSALNT0401473". The record is from RNAcentral. Lineage: Eukaryota; Metazoa; Chordata; Mammalia; Primates; Hominidae.
CACCCAGGAUCACCAAGGUCUCUCCUACCCCGGGGCCUGUGCACCUGCUGUGCCUCUGCUUGGGGUGCUCUUCCCAGGGCUUGCCCACCUCCUCAGAGAGGCCUCCUGACCCCUGACACGGCCUUGCCCUUCACCUCUAUCGUCCUUUAGAACAGCCCCCACCUCCCGCACAUCAUGCAGUUGCAGGUUCAAUGGCUACUGCUUGUCCUCCAGACUCCUCUCCACAAGCCAACAGCUCUCUCCUGGCUUUGAUUUUCAACCAUUUAAGUUGAAAAAAAUUCAAAACAAAUGAAAUGCACUUAAGAGAAAGCCUUGAGGAGUUCAGCAGGCCACCCAAAGUGAAGGGACUCCUUUGGGGGUCUUUGUUGUUAUCAAUUAUUUAUUGAGCCCUGAUGUGUUCCUGGCGCCACCAAGACCGAAAGGAGACAGGGUCCCUGCCCUGGGGCAUCCCAACAAAGAAGGGAGAGUUUGUGAAGCUUAAAAAUGUCCCAGAUGGAUAGGCCUCAUCACUCCUCAGAUGAUUCUCGAAGGAUAACACACAGGCCAGUGGGCAGCCCUAGGCCAGGGGGAUUACCAAGACAUGAAGACUUUCUUUCUGUCUCAGCAACCUUCAUGCUUGGUCAAGCAAAGGUGUUGCUUAAGUCAAACCCAGGGCAGGGGAGAGCAGUUGAAGCAAAGUGAGUCUUUGGAGGCCCUGUGGUUGUGGGGUCUGGUGUGGAGACAGUGAGAACGGAAAAGGUGGGAGAGGAGCAGUCAACCCGUGAAUGGCCCCAUUCAGACGCCUUUACCUGGAAGACGUGGCAGGUCUACUGGGGUUCAUCCCAUCUGAGCCAGGCCUGGCUUUUCUUGGCUGCAAGCUGAGAGCUGGGUCCAGGUCUGCUGAACCAAGGUUCUCCCAUCUUCCUUGAGCCAGUGACAAUCAGAGGCCUAUUUCUUUCAUGACGGAAGGCAGGAGAACAAGCAGGCAAGACCAGCUGUGCUAGCACAUGGCACCCCUUUCCCACAUCACACCUGCUAACAUCCCAUUGUUCAAAGCAAGUAACACAACCAAACCCAAUAUCAACAGGACAAGAAAACAGACUCCACCUCUAGGUGCACAAACUACAGAGUCACGGACAGAGAACACAGAUCUAGGGAAGGAAGCUGGAGAAUGAGAACAAUGACCCUCAAUAACACAACCUCCCACAGGUUUCCAAAUCCCCAACCUGAGCAUAUUUCCAAGGAAACGGAAUCAUGGGUUCAGGGUUUUAGAGCAAGCAAUUUCUGCUCUCCCAGCUUAGUUUCCAUACCCUUAACACAGGGGCAAUGACGUCGCAUCGAAUCAUAUCUUAUAAGUCUGUGAUGAUGUUUCAACAACUGAACGCCAGAAAAGUGCUUAGAGCAAGGCCAGCUCCCGGCUCACCCACCCAGCAGCUCAGCACCUGCGAAAUCCGUCUCCCGAUGCACACUUGCUAACCGCGUGGGUGUGAGCACAACGAUGGGAAACAGCGGAAGUCCCCGGAGUGCAGACUCAGGAGUGAACCUGCCUGAAGAGUGGCGUCUAACGCACACACUGUGGUCAGCUCCACCCCACUAUGGGUCCCGGGAAUAGGAGCAAGUAUGUAUUUUGCUUGCAGGGCAGGUGUUUCAUCCACAUUAUUGCAGGAACAGAUGAAUUUAAUUAAAAGAACACCACAGUGGGCACCUCUUCCAGGGAUGUCUCCCUCUAAGAACAUGACACUGAGAUGAUCAAGGUUCUAAAAGGGCGAUCAAAUUACUCUCCGAAAAUGAAACUGCUCAGACAGAAUGACAAUUAAAUUAAUAACAACCAAGACAAUGCCCAGAUUUCAUCUCCGCUCACAGCCCCUCCUGUGUGCUGUAUGAUCAGGUUCUUGGGGUGGCUCCAGAUACAGCAAACAGUCAGGAUUAAUCCACAAGAGUGAGCUGUCAGCAUGAGGUUCCCCUACAGUGGAGCUUGCCAAGGUCCGUGCCUCCCAGGGCACCCGUUCCAGGGCUAACAGAUGAAGCAUGGAAAUGCUGUGUGGAGUGAGCUAAGCAGCCGUUCUCAGGAGAAAACAGACAAAUCCUCCUGCAUCCUGGCAAACCAGCUUUGUGGCCUGUUUUAUGUCAUCUUUGCUGAGCUCCACCGGGUCACCCCUCCUGUUGGCUUUGUGAUACUGACAUUUCAGGCACUGGCACAGAUACAUUGGCCUUCCUGGCUGGGAUUUCACGGACGGAGUGAGCAGUGCUGGCUUGGAGGAGCCGUGGCGGCACAGGGCCUGUGCUCUCAGCUGAUCAACGCCUUGAUAGCCAGGAAAGGCCUGUCCUACCCCAAAGGGCCCUCGCAGCACUGUUUGAAAUUGCUCUUGCCAUCUUUGGAAUGGAUUCCUCAGUACAUUUCAGACUCGUUGUUGUGACUUUGGUUUUAAUCCAGGGACACACCGUGGCCAGUGGAGUGUCUCAACAGCAUCUAUGAUCGCUGUUUCCCAGAGACAGCAUCUCAGAUACCGAUGCUGAAAGAGAAACAGCAGCCUGUCCCCAAGUGGCAGGAAAUAGUCCAUUUUAAUGGCAAUUUCAUAAGUGGCAGAUGAUUUUUAUUGUAAUUUUCUGGUGAGCUGAUUAAGUGGAGGCAGAGUCAGUUCUGAGGCGUCAAUGUCUUUAACAAUUCGGGGAGACGGAGGCCACGCUCAGCAGGAACACUGAGUCCAUGGAAAACAGGCCCUGGGCCCGCUGAUGUGCAUAAUUCCACGUUUGCCCCUCAUGUAACCAGGAUGGUAAAUUACAGGUGUCAGAUAAUCACGCUCUGGAGUGGCUACUUGAGGAUGCGAUCGACCAAUUUAAGCUCCGUCUGACACAUGAUCAAUAGCCCGUGAUGCUGCAUGGAAUUGCAGGCACAGUGUCCAAACCUGCAGAGCAGUGGCUCCCAGCUGGGGCAACUUUGCCCCCCAGAGGACAUUUGGCAAUGUCUGGAUAUGUUUGCAAUUGUCACAACUAGGAAAGGAGGUACCCAUAGGAUACACAGGAAAGUCCUCACACAGUUGUAUCCUGCCCAGACUGUCCGUAGAGCCAGGGUGAGAUGCUCUGACAGAGCCACAGUGAACAUUGCAUUCCAUCAUCUGGGUAUCUCCAGGAAUGUAUGUAGCUGGAUGUCUGGCUUUUCAUCUGGGUUUCACGAGCCUCCUGCAGAACUGAAACCAUGUGCAAAUCAGUUCUCAUACUUGCUCUCCUGCCUCCUUCCUAUUGUAAUUUUUUCUUCCCACCUUUUUUAUUGUUACUAGAGAAAUGAUGAAGAAAAAGAAUAGGCUGGAGAGUCACUCAAAAUUUUGUUUUCCUCAAUUAAAAAGAAGUAAUUUAGAAGUUACUCAAUGAUGUUUUCUUUAAUUAAAAAAAAAAGUAGUUUGGGAAAGCAGAAAAUUAAUGAAGACAGAAAACACAGGUUUCAUGAAAAAGUUCAGCAUCCCAGGAAAGGAGCAAAGAGAAGUCUGCAGAUGAGAGUUGCUCAGUGUCAGGACUCAGAAAACAAUACCCCAAGAUAAUGUUCAAACCUGAGUGCUUUGAACAAAGGAUAUUGAAAGACCUCAGAAGAGGGCCUCAGAACUCACAUGUCUCUCUGACCUUCUCCUGUCUCUCCUUCACUUCCAAAGCAUGAUCUUUGGCCAGGGGAUCUCUCUGGGAUUCCCUUAUCUGCCUGAGGGAUGUACUUCCAAAAGAAAUGUGACUGGCAUGACCUCCUCCCUAGGAAUCUCUUCAAACAGCCGGGAAAGACUGGUCACCUGAGAGGAGAUUGGAAGUCCUCACUGCACUCAGAAAGGCUGUUGUCCAUUCUUCUAGAGACUUUAUCUGAAUAACAAGGCAACUUUUGUUUACCAUUCAGUUCCUCCCCUUUCCUUUCUAACUUGUCACCACCUCCCCCAAAAGCCUCAAGCCUCCACUCCUACAAGCUAUAAAGACUUCAACCAUCUGGCUUCU